CAGACACUUUGUGCCUUCCCUUUCCCACUCACUGCAUAGCAGGACAAAGCCCACAGGGAAACUGAGGCACACUGCUCAUAAAAAUAUUGCCUGAAUUUCCACCUCCACACAAGUGCUCCGCAGGGUGAGGGCUACUCUCACUUGCCCCGUUCAGUCCCCCGGAGCGUGGCUGGUGCUGCCUUGGACCCACCCACGGCCCGUCUGGAAGCCGGGUCUGGAACAUGCCUCUUCCCAUAGGUGCUGGGUGUCAUGAUUGGCGUUGGUGUUUCCGUGUUGCUCGUCGCCACCUUGAUCCUGGUGCUGGUCCGCAGGCUGCGCCUCAAGAAGGUUCAGGCUCAGGAGACCCCCAAGUAUCGAUUCCGCAAGCGGGACAAAGUGCUGUUCUACGGGCGCAAGAUCAUGCGCAAGGUAUGGGGCUGGGGCAGAGCACCAUGCACUGGCCCGGGCUGGGGAGUCAGUGGGGGCUGGCAGUGAAAGUGUUGAUGGCUCUGCCAGCUCCAGUGUAGUGCUCCAAUCCCUGUCCCCCUCCCUGCCCAGAAGCCUGGCUGUAGCCCAGCUGAAGGGCGUCUCUGGGGGUAGUUCAAUUUCGCAGUUAGACACUGGUGUUGGACAGGGUGGUGGCCAGGGCCGGCUUUAGGCUGAGUCCCCCAGUUCCCCAGAAUCAGGCCCCACGCCUUAGGCUCACCCGGCGGUGGUCCGCUCCGGCGGCAUUUUGGUGGCUGGGGGGGAUCCGCUCUGGGGUCUUCGGCAGCAUUUUGGCGGCGGUGGGGGGGUGUCUGCUCCAGGGUCUUUGGCGGUGGGGGGUCCUUCAGGGAGCACCCUCCAACCCCCGCUGCGAAAGUGCCACCGAAGACCCGGACCAUGGAAUCGGGCCCGUCAGGUCCUAAAGCCAGCCCUGGUGGUGGCUCCCUUGGCACCGCCCCCAACCCAUGCUCCUCUCCUCCCGCUGCAGCUGAGGAGUAAGAGCUCUGGCAGGUGAAUCAUUGCGGGUGGGCCUGGUCUCUGGCAUCCCUGUCACAGAGCCACAGGGUCUGGCCUAUGCCCC
Molecule: long non-coding RNA, 1045 nt
Filed under: Chrysemys picta bellii (western painted turtle)
Lineage: Eukaryota; Metazoa; Chordata; Testudines; Emydidae
Description: lncRNA (ENSCPBG00000004244.1)
Source: RNAcentral